UGCGCAUGCUUGUCGGAGAUUCUCAGGCGACCUUCCCUCUUAUCUUCCUCUUGCAUUUAUCAGAAGUGCUGAACCCUUGACGUGCCUUAUCUUAUUUGCUCCUCACAACAAAUCUUAUGAGAUGCAUCACUACCAGAAGUUGUCCAGAAAGAACUGUGACCGUAUGUUUUAAUUAAAUAAUUUUUCAUCCAGUUUUUUUCUUUGCAUAUAAAGAAACAGAAUCCUGACAUCUGAUUGAAUUAUUGGCUCUCCUGAUGGUUGCACGAUGGCUGCAGCAGUUCCAGAUGUCCCAUCGAGACACAAAAAGAUCCCAGAUGGAAGAUGCCAUCUCCUCCUAUGUGCCUCUUUUUAAGAGUGCCAUGCCACUCAAACAGCCAAUGGAAAGGCCCACGUGGCGAGAGCUAAGGCUUCCUGCCAACAGGCAAGUGAGGAAGCCCAGUCAGCUGCCUGCAGUCCUGACCCAUGAAGAGCCUGACUGAAAGUGAAUGAGCAACCCUGAGCUAGGACAACCCAGCAAGGCCCAUCCUGAAUUCCUGCCCACAAAAACUCUGAGACAGUAAAUGUUCGUUGUUUUAAACCACAAAGUUUUGAAGUAAUAGAUUAAUUAGGUAACCAAUUGGGACUGCAGUAUUCCUUCAGGGAACUUGAAUAGUCAUUCUGUAUAUGGAAAUUGUACACAUCUUAAAAUUGCUGGACUAAAGUGAGAAGAGACUGUCUUGAGUCAACUGGAUAAAGUGGAAAAAAAAUUAAUUUGGAAAUCAAUAGAAUUCUGGCCUUGGCUUUGUCACUAAGAAACACUUAUAAGUAAUUUCACUUCUCUUGAAAUUAUGAUCAUUAUCUAUAACAUAAAGGAACUGAGCUAAAUGUUAUCUGAUGCCUCUUUAGGCUCUCAAACUCCAUAGAUUUAUGACAUGCUUGAAAUUCACUUUGUUUCACCCUAAUUCAGAGCUUUGUUUCACUAGCUCUAGAAUUAGAUGCCUUGGGUUUAAAUUGCAAUUCAGUCACUUAUUUAAAUAAUUGUACUUGGAUGAGUGAUGUUGCCAUUUUAAGCCUCAGUUUCCCCAUAGAUUCAUUGAGAAGAUCAAAUAAGAUGAUGCAGAUAAAGCUCUUAGUUUGUGGGGACACUUAGUAAGUGCUUAAUAAAUACAGGCAGUUGUGUUAUCUAUGUUGUAGCAGCACAUUUUGUAAAAUAAAACAAAGUUGAAAUCACA
RNAcentral lists this long non-coding RNA (1211 nucleotides) under Homo sapiens (human). Its description in RNAcentral is "long intergenic non-protein coding RNA 2266". The record is from RNAcentral. Lineage: Eukaryota; Metazoa; Chordata; Mammalia; Primates; Hominidae.